GAAUUCGCCCUUAGAGUUUGAUCCUGGCUCAGGAUGAACGCUGGCGGCGUGCCUAACACAUGCAAGUCGAACGAAGCUUGACGGUGGAACUCUUCGGAGGGAAACCUGAUAUGACUUAGUGGCGGACGGGAGAGUAACACGUGAGCAACCUGCCUUUCAGAGGGGGACAACGACUGGAAACGGUCGCUAAUACCGCAUGAUAUGUUCGGAUGGCAUCAUCUGAACAUCAAAGAUUUAUCGCUGAAAGAUGGGCUCGCGUCUGAUUAGAUAGUUGGUGAGGUAACGGCUCACCAAGUCGACGAUCAGUAGCCGGACUGAGAGGUUGAACGGCCACAUUGGGACUGAGAUACGGCCCAGACUCCUACGGGAGGCAGCAGUGGGGAAUAUUGCACAAUGGGGGAAACCCUGAUGCAGCAACCCCGCGUGAAGGAAGACGGUUUUCGGAUUGUAAACUUCUUUUCUUUGUGAAGAAACAAAUGACGGUAGCAAAGGAAUAAGCAUCGGCUAACUACGUGCCAGCAGCCGCGGUAAUACGUAGGAUGCAAGCGUUAUCCGGAUUUACUGGGUGUAAAGGGAGCGCAGGCGGGACUUCAAGUUGGAUGUGAAAUGUCAAGGCUUAACCAUGGCACUGCAUCCAAAACUGUAGUUCUUGAGUGGAGUAGAGGUAAGCGGAAUUCCGAGUGUAGCGGUGAAAUGCGUAGAUAUUCGGAGGAACACCAGUGGCGAAGGCGGCUUACUGGGCUCUAACUGACGCUGAGGCUCGAAAGUGUGGGGAGCAAACAGGAUUAGAUACCCUGGUAGUCCACACUGUAAACGAUGAUAGCUAGGUGUGGGGGGUCUGACCCCUUCCGUGCUGGAGUUAA
RNAcentral lists this ribosomal RNA (863 nucleotides) under uncultured bacterium. RNAcentral describes it as "bacterial SSU rRNA". It matches the Rfam family "Bacterial small subunit ribosomal RNA", at positions 1 to 855 of the family's 1533-position model. The record is from RNAcentral.